RNAcentral lists this ribosomal RNA (466 nucleotides) under uncultured bacterium. Its description in RNAcentral is "partial 16S ribosomal RNA". It matches the Rfam family "Bacterial small subunit ribosomal RNA", at positions 28 to 507 of the family's 1533-position model. The record is from RNAcentral.
GAUGAACGCUGGCGGCGUGCUUAACACAUGCAAGUCGAACGAUGAAGCCCAGCUUGCUGGGUGGAUUAGUGGCGAACGGGUGAGUAACACGUGAGUAACCUGCCCUUGACUCUGGGAUAAGCCUGGGAAACUGGGUCUAAUACUGGAUAUGACUUCUCAUCGCAUGGUGGGGGGUGGAAAGAUUUAUUGGUCUUGGAUGGACUCGCGGCCUAUCAGCUUGUUGGUGAGGAAAUGGCUCACCAAGGCGACGACGGGUAGCCGGCCUGAGAGGGUGACCGGCCACACUGGGACUGAGACACGGCCCAGACUCCUACGGGAGGCAGCAGUGGGGAAUAUUGCACAAUGGGCGCAAGCCUGAUGCAGCGACGCCGCGUGAGGGAUGACGGCCUUCGGGUUGUAAACCUCUUUCAGUAGGGAAGAAGCGAGAGUGACGGUACCUGCAGAAGAAGCGCCGGCUAACUACGUG